AGUUUUUAUGCCCCACCUACGAUAGUAGAGGGGCAUUAUGUUUUCUGGUCUGUGCGUCCGUUCGUUCGUUCGUCCGUCCGUCUGUUCGUUCGUCCGUUCGUUCGUUCGUCCGUCUGUCCCGCUUCAGGUUAACGUUUUUGGUCGAGGUAGUUUUUGAUGAAGUUGAAGUCCAAUCGACUUCAAACUUGGUACACAUGUUCCCUAUGAUAUGAUCUUUCUAAUUUUAAUGCCAAAUAAGAGAUUUUACCCCAAUUUCACGGUCCACUGAACAUAGAAAAUGAUAGUGCGAGUGGGGCAUUCGUGUACUGAGGACACAUUCUUGUUUAUAUAUA
Molecule: long non-coding RNA, 332 nt
Filed under: Mytilus galloprovincialis (Mediterranean mussel)
Lineage: Eukaryota; Metazoa; Mollusca; Bivalvia; Mytilida; Mytilidae
Source: RNAcentral